UACGGAGGGGGCUAGCGUUGUUCGGAAUUACUGGGCGUAAAGCGCACGUAGGCGGCUUUGUAAGUUAGAGGUGAAAGCCCGGGGCUCAACUCCGGAACUGCCUUUAAGACUGCAUCGCUAGAAUUGUGGAGAGGUAAGUGGAUUUCCGAGUGUAGAGGUGAAAUUCGUAGAUAUUCGGAAGAACACCAGUGGCGAAGGCGACUUACUGGACACAUAUUGACGCUGAGGUGCGAAAGCGUGGGGAGCAAACAGG
Molecule: ribosomal RNA, 253 nt
Filed under: uncultured bacterium
Lineage: Bacteria
Description: partial 16S ribosomal RNA
Rfam family: Bacterial small subunit ribosomal RNA
Source: RNAcentral